UACGGAGGGGGCUAGCGUUUUUCUUAAUUACUGGGCGUAAAGCGCGCGUAUGCGGACUGGAAAGUCAGAGGUGAAAUCCCAGGGCUCAACCUUGGAACUGCCUUUGAAACUAUCAGUCUGGAGUUCGAGAGAGGUGAGUGGAAUUCCGAGUGUAGAGGUGAAAUUCGUAGAUAUUCGGAGGAACACCAGUGGGGAAGGAGGCUCACUGGCUCGAUACUGACGCUGAGGUGCGAAAGCGUGGGGAGCAAACAGG
This 253-nucleotide unclassified non-coding RNA is filed under the name uncultured Rhodobacterales bacterium. Its description in RNAcentral is "contains 16S-23S intergenic spacer region". It matches the Rfam family "Bacterial small subunit ribosomal RNA", at positions 524 to 776 of the family's 1533-position model. The record is from RNAcentral. Lineage: Bacteria; Pseudomonadati; Pseudomonadota; Alphaproteobacteria; Rhodobacterales.